Molecule: ribosomal RNA, 327 nt
Filed under: uncultured eukaryote
Lineage: Eukaryota
Description: partial 18S ribosomal RNA
Rfam family: Eukaryotic small subunit ribosomal RNA
Source: RNAcentral
CCCUUAGUUGUUCUGGGCCGCACACGCGCUACACUGAAGGAGGCAGCGUGUACUCCUGGAUCGAAAGAUUUGGGUAACCCGCGAAUCUCCUUCGUGCUAGGGAUUGAGGUUUGCAAUUAUCCUUCAUGAACGAGGAAUUCCCAGUAAGUGCAAGUCAUAAGCUUGCGCUGACUACGUCCCUGCCCUUUGUACACACCGCCCGUCGCUACUACCGAUUGAAUGAUUUAGUGAGGACUUCGGACUGGGACCGAUGCGGCUUUCGGGCUGCGUCGGUAUUCUGGAAAGAUGUCCAAACUGUAUCAUUUAGAGGAAGUAAAAGUCGUAACA